This 478-nucleotide ribosomal RNA is filed under the name uncultured bacterium. RNAcentral describes it as "partial 16S ribosomal RNA". It matches the Rfam family "Bacterial small subunit ribosomal RNA", at positions 28 to 507 of the family's 1533-position model. The record is from RNAcentral.
GAUUAACGCUGGCGGCGUGCAUAACACAUGCAAGUCGAACGAUGAAACUUUACUGACUUCUUCGGAAUGAUUUAAAGCGGAUUAGUGGCGAACGGGUGAGUAACGCGUGAGUAACCUGCCUUACACAAGGGGAUAGCCUCUGGAAACGGAGAAUAAUACCCUAUGAAACCAGACAAUCGCAUGAUAAUCUGGUCAAAAUGUUUAGUGGUGUAAGAUGGACUUGCGUCUGAUUAGCUAGUUGGUGAGAUAAAAGCUCACCAAGGCAACGAUCAGUAGCCGGCUUGAGAGAGUGUACGGCCACAUUGGGACUGAGACACGGCCCAGACUCCUACGGGAGGCAGCAGUGGGGAAUGUUGCACAAUGGGGGAAACCCUGAUGCAGCGACGCCGCGUGAUUUAGAAGGCCUUCGGGUUGUAAAAAUCUUUUGUAUAGGAAGAAAAUGACAGUACUAUACGAAUAAGGUCCGGCUAAUUACGUG